AAUGAAUUGCCUGAAAAAGGAUUACCUUGAUAGGGUAAAUCAUAUAAUAAUUAUUAUAUUCAUUA
This 65-nucleotide transfer RNA is filed under the name Senometopia sp. 1 HNL-2023a. RNAcentral's name for it is "tRNA-Ile". Lineage: Eukaryota; Metazoa; Arthropoda; Insecta; Diptera; Tachinidae. The record is from RNAcentral. RNAcentral also lists the same sequence under 1 other name.